UACGUAGGGGGCAAGCGUUGUCCGGAAUCACUGGGCUUAAAGCGUGUGUAGGCGGACUUCUAAGUGCCUUGUGAAAUCCCACGGCUCACCCGUGGAACUGCUGGGCAUACUGGGAGUCUUGAGCCACCUAGGGGCGAGCGGAACAAAUGGUGGAGCGGUGAAAUGCGUAGAUAUCAUUUGGAACGCCAACGGAGAAAUCAGCUCGCUGGGGGUGUGCUGACGCUGAGACACGAAAGCCAGGGGAGCGAACGGG
This 253-nucleotide ribosomal RNA is filed under the name uncultured bacterium. RNAcentral's name for it is "partial 16S ribosomal RNA". It matches the Rfam family "Bacterial small subunit ribosomal RNA", at positions 524 to 776 of the family's 1533-position model. The record is from RNAcentral.